This 297-nucleotide ribosomal RNA is filed under the name Pseudomonas sp. SKT-2. Its description in RNAcentral is "partial 16S ribosomal RNA". It matches the Rfam family "Bacterial small subunit ribosomal RNA", at positions 75 to 374 of the family's 1533-position model. Lineage: Bacteria; Pseudomonadati; Pseudomonadota; Gammaproteobacteria; Pseudomonadales; Pseudomonadaceae. The record is from RNAcentral.
GGUACUUGUACCUGGUGGCGAGCGGCGGACGGGUGAGUAAUGCCUAGGAAUCUGCCUGGUAGUGGGGGAUAACGCUCGGAAACGGCAGCUAAUACCGCAUACGUCCUACGGGAGAAAGCAGGGGACCUUCGGGCCUUGCGCUAUCAGAUGAGCCUAGGUCGGAUUAGCUAGUUGGUGAGGUAAUGGCUCACCAAGGCGACGAUCCGUAACUGGUCUGAGAGGAUGAUCAGUCACACUGGAACUGAGACACGGUCCAGACUCCUACGGGAGGCAGCAGUGGGGAAUAUUGGACAAUGG